This 77-nucleotide transfer RNA is filed under the name Deinococcus roseus. RNAcentral describes it as "tRNA-Met". It matches the Rfam family "tRNA". Rfam says of the family: Transfer RNA (tRNA) molecules are approximately 80 nucleotides in length. Their secondary structure includes four short double-helical elements and three loops (D, anti-codon, and T loops). Further hydrogen bonds mediate the characteristic L-shaped molecular structure. tRNAs have two regions of fundamental functional importance: the anti-codon, which is responsible for specific mRNA codon recognition, and the 3' end, to which the tRNAs corresponding amino acid is attached (by aminoacyl-tRNA synthetases). tRNAs cope with the degeneracy of the genetic code in two manners: having more than one tRNA (with a specific anti-codon) for a particular amino acid; and 'wobble' base-pairing, i.e. permitting non-standard base-pairing at the 3rd anti-codon position. The record is from RNAcentral. Lineage: Bacteria; Thermotogati; Deinococcota; Deinococci; Deinococcales; Deinococcaceae. RNAcentral also lists the same sequence under 3 other names.
GGCGUUGUAGCUCAGCUGGUUAGAGCGAACGACUCAUAAUCGUUAGGUCCGCGGUUCAAGUCCGCGCAACGCCACCA